GACGAACGCUGGCGGCGUGCUUAACACAUGCAAGUCGAACGGAAAGGCCUGCUUUCCCUUGUGGAUUGCGGGUACUCGAGUGGCGAACGGGUGAGUAACACGUGAGUCAUCUGCCCCCAACUUAGUUAUAAGCAUGGGAAACUGGGUCUAAUUCCCGAUAGGACUGCAGGGUGGUGCCUGUGGUGGAAAACGAUUUUCUAGUGGUUGGGGAGGAGCUCCCGGCGUAUCAGCUUGUUGGUGGGGUAAUGGCCUACCAAGGCGGGGACGGGUAGCCAGCCUGAGAGGGUGGACGGUCACAGUGGGACUGGGAUACGGCCCAGACGGCUACGGGAGGCAGCAGUGGGGACGAUUGGACAAUGGGCGGAAGCCUGAUGCAGCGACUCCGCGUGGGGGAUGACGGCCUUGGGGUUGUAAACUCCUUGCGACCGAGAGGAAGCCACGUGGUUGGAAGGGUGGUGACGGUAGUGGUAGAAGAAGCACCGGCUAACUACGUG
This 494-nucleotide ribosomal RNA is filed under the name uncultured bacterium. RNAcentral describes it as "partial 16S ribosomal RNA". It matches the Rfam family "Bacterial small subunit ribosomal RNA", at positions 28 to 507 of the family's 1533-position model. The record is from RNAcentral.